UACACAUGCAAGUCGAACGGCAGCCGGGGGCAACCCUGGUGGCGAGUGGCGAACGGGUGAGUAAUACAUCGGAACGUGCCCAGUCGUGGGGGAUAACUACGCGAAAGCGUAGCUAAUACCGCAUACGAUCUACGGAUGAAAGCGGGGGAUCGCAAGACCUCGCGUGAUUGGAGCGGCCGAUGGCAGAUUAGGUAGUUGGUGGGGUAAAGGCUCACCAAGCCGUCGAUCUGUAGCUGGUCUGAGAGGACGACCAGCCACACUGGGACUGAGACACGGCCCAGACUCCUACGGGAGGCAGCAGUGGGGAAUUUUGGACAAUGGGCGAAAGCCUGAUCCAGCCAUUCCGCGUGCAAGAUGAAGGCCCUCGGGUUGUAAACUGCUUUUGGACGGAACGAAAAGCGCCGGGUUAAUACCUCGGCGUCAUGACGGUACCGUCAGAAUAAGCACCGGCUAACUACGUGCCAGCAGCCGCGGUAAUACGUAGGGUGCAAGCGUUAAUCGGAAUUACUGGGCGUAAAGCGUGCGCAGGCGGUGAUGUAAGACAGAUGUGAAAUCCCCGGGCUCAACCUGGGAACUGCAUUUGUGACUGCAUCGCUGGAGUGCGGCAGAGGGGGAUGGAAUUCCGCGUGUAGCAGUGAAAUGCGUAGAUAUGCGGAGGAACACCGAUGGCGAAGGCA
Molecule: ribosomal RNA, 677 nt
Filed under: uncultured beta proteobacterium
Lineage: Bacteria; Pseudomonadati; Pseudomonadota; Betaproteobacteria
Description: bacterial SSU rRNA
Rfam family: Bacterial small subunit ribosomal RNA
Source: RNAcentral